Molecule: long non-coding RNA, 1088 nt
Organism: Ictalurus punctatus (channel catfish)
Lineage: Eukaryota; Metazoa; Chordata; Actinopteri; Siluriformes; Ictaluridae
Source: Ensembl
GGAAUUUUUGCUCAUUCAGCCACAAGCAUAUCAGCGAGGUCAGGUCAGGUGCCGAUGUUGGACGAGGAGACCUGGGGUGCAGUCAGCGUACCAGUUCAUUCCAAAGGUGUUCAAUGGGGUUGAGUUCAGGGCUCUGUGCAGGACACUUAAGUUCUCCCACUCCAACCGUGGCAAACCAUGUCUUCAUGGAGCGUGCUUUGUGCACGGGGGCAUUGUCAUGCUGGAAAAGGUUUGGGCCUCUUAGUUCCAGUGAAGGAAAAUUGUAAUGUUACAGCAUACAAAGACAUUCUAUACUAUAUUCUAUUAUAUAAGUGUGUGCUUACAACAGUUCGAGAAAGAACCACAUAUAGAUGUGAUGGUCAUCUGUCCACAACCUUUUGGCCAUAUAGUGUAUUAUAUGUUAUCAUUUUAACUGCAUAUAUAAGGGAGAAGAAAAAAAAAGUCUAAGGGUGUAGUGUUACAGGAAAAUAAUCAAGGAUGGGGAGGUGUGAUGCAGCCCAGCGUGAAGUUAGCAUCCCAAACUGGACUAUUUUCCUAUAACAGCACAUCCCAAAGUAUUUUAUUCCUCUUAUACUUCAGCAAUUUCCAACAAUUCAAAUCUAUACUGUACCUACCUUUUUUUAGCCAUUUAAAGUUGAUUUAAUGUGUGAAACUUACACACAAUAAGUUAGUUCAUAUUAUACCACAACGGAUUUAAUUUUCUCUAAAAGCAGCUCUCAGUCGUUCCAUCUGUAAUUCAAAUAAGUUUCCUGUGAGAUGUUUAUUUAUUUAUUGUUUAUACAAUUAUAGAAGGAGUCUCCAGUGUCAGAGCUUUAAAAGAGUUUCCAGUAUGAGAAAGUCUUCAGAACAGAGGAGGAUGUAGACAAGCUGCAGGGUGGUUCCGGUGCCUCAACCAGGAACUCUGUGUGUGGGACAGGAAUACACCCUGGAUGUGAAGCCUGGCCGUUUACAUACAUUCACACCCUAGAGUAGCCAAUCCACACACUAGUGUGUUUUUGGGAGGUGUAAGUAACCUGUAGAACCUUGGAAAUCCACUUGGACAUGGUGAGAACCUGUAAAACUGUAGUAAGCCGAGCUCAGGAUCACAC